GUAGGUGGCAAGCGUUGUCCGGAAUUAUUGGGCGUAAAGCGCGCGCAGGCGGUCCUUUAAGUCUGAUGUGAAAGCCCACGGCUCAACCGUGGAGGGUCAUUGGAAACUGGGGGACUUGAGUACAGAAGAGGAAAGCGGAAUUCCAAGUGUAGCGGUGAAAUGCGUAGAGAUUUGGAGGAACACCAGUGGCGAAGGCGGCUUUCUGGUCUGUAACUGACGCUGAGGCGCGAAAGCGUGGGGAGCAAACAGGGAUUAGAUACCCUGGUAGUCCACGCCGUAAACGAUGAGUGCUAAGUGUUAGGGGGUUUCCCGCCCCUUAGUGCUGCAGCUAACGCAUUAAGCACUCCACCUGGGGAUACGGCCGCAAGGCUG
This 372-nucleotide ribosomal RNA is filed under the name uncultured organism. RNAcentral describes it as "partial 16S ribosomal RNA". It matches the Rfam family "Bacterial small subunit ribosomal RNA", at positions 527 to 896 of the family's 1533-position model. The record is from RNAcentral.